AUGGAUGGAACUAGUUCCAAGAGGCAGAGGAAGGAACCAAGGCCAAAGAGGAUGACGGGACCAAGUGAUCCCUUUGCAGUGAUGCUUCAAGAUGUCAAUAGCCAGCUCAACAAUGUGACACAAUAUGUGGGUACAAUGGCAGCAUCAUUGUCAGCAUCAUUGGCACGAGAAGCAGCGCAAGAGGAUCCUUAG
This 192-nucleotide ribosomal RNA is filed under the name Triticum aestivum (bread wheat). RNAcentral describes it as "partial small subunit ribosomal RNA". The record is from RNAcentral. Lineage: Eukaryota; Viridiplantae; Streptophyta; Magnoliopsida; Poales; Poaceae.